AGAGUUUGAUCCUGGCUCAGGAUGAACGCUAGCUACAGGCUUAACACGUGCAAGUCGAGGGGAAACGAUAUUGGAAGCUUGCUUCCGAUAGGCGUCGACCGGCGCACGGGUGAGUAACGCGUAUCCAACCUGCCCACCACUUGGGGAUAACCUUGCGAAAGUAAGACUAAUACCCAAUGAUAUCUCUAGAAGACAUCUGAAAGAGAUUAAAGAUUUAUCGGUGAUGGAUGGGGAUGCGUCUGAUUAGCUUGUUGGCGGGGUAACGGCCACAAGGCGACGAUCAGUAGGGGUUCUGAGAGGAAGGUCCCCCANAUUGGAACUGGGACACGGUCCAAACUCCUACGGGAGCA
RNAcentral lists this ribosomal RNA (350 nucleotides) under uncultured bacterium. RNAcentral describes it as "bacterial SSU rRNA". It matches the Rfam family "Bacterial small subunit ribosomal RNA", at positions 8 to 349 of the family's 1533-position model. The record is from RNAcentral.